UCACAACUGAUAAGAGAAUGCCUGACAUUUCGGCACAGCCACAGUAAGCAGAGUGUGACGACGAGCAGCCAUUGGUGCAGCUAUGCUGACGCUGGUAGCCCUCGCCGUGGUUCUGGUCGGCGCCGUGGACGGGUCCACACCCACGGCGCUCUGCGGCACACAGCCGUGUCCUGAGCCGCUCCAGUGCCGUGAAGAGAGAGACGUGUCGGUCUGUGUGCGCGUGCCGGCCCCCACCUGCGCUGACACCAGCUGCCCGGCCGGACAAGAGUGUAUUCUGCAACAGGCGUUUUGUGACUCCUCACCCUGCGACCCGAAACCUACUUGCGUCAAUAGAAAUCCCUGCGGAACCUGCUUUGCUCCGCAGGAGUUCUGCCAGCUGCUGCCAUCGCCGAUCUGCCGUCUUGUCGUAACCAUAACAUGCGCCAACAAGAUCUGCCCGCCCGGAAAGAAAUGCAAGGAGCAAGUCUUUAACUGCUUCAGAGCCCCGUGUCCCCCGAUCCCAGAGUGUGUGUAAAUGAUUCUGUAUGUCUAAUGGCAUCAUAUGAGAUGAUGGCUACCCGAAACACGAUCGCGCAUAGAUAAAACACGUGUAAGGUCUCGCUUGGGUACGUAUGCUGGGGUCACAGCAUUAAUAUUAUUUUUGCGGAUCAUCUUGGCCUUCUAAGACACCUUAGCCUUCUAUCUUAUCGGUUCAUAAUUUACGAUGCGAUGGUCAGAAUCGAUUUUGCGUGUGGUUUUGAAACGUUUCAUUUUGUUUCACUAAAAAGCUGUUUACAUCAGAGACAUCUGGUACAAAAUGCAAAUAACUAUGCAAUGGUAAGGUGAUCACCUAACAUGCAUAAUACGUACGUUUCCAGAUAAGUAUUUGAAAACUUGGUUGCAAUAGCACUGAGCCGGUGCUGAUCACGACGGAAACCAGCUUUUAAGCGUAAUGGAGGUCAUGGAGUAGAAGAUUUUGUUCGGUUUCUUGCUUAGUUGGAGCAUUGCCACAGUUCUUUAUCAACAUCAGGAUAAUUGUGAGCCUCGUGUAUUUUUGUUAUGCUCAAAUGACGCCGUGCUUAAUAGGUGUAAUAAUCCUAAAGGAGUUGUCAUGCCAUAUGCUCUCGUUACUGGUGAACAAUUACAGUUUAUAUUGGGGUGUUCCGCUUCAGGCGUUCUAAAACCCAAAGGAGUAGUUCCGCUGCUUCAAUACAGGAUGGUCAUGAAAAGAAUAGUCAUCUGAUUAUUUCACGAAAUAUCCAGAAAAUAAGCAGCAUUUCUUAAAUGAAUGAAUCCGAAACUUUGAAUGGAUGGCUUCUGAGAUCAGCGCUCACGUUAAGAAGUGCUUGUGGUGUGAGCACUGACACUUCACACCCGCUCGCGCAACCGCAGGUCGACGACAGAAUUUGGUAGCAGAAGUUUAGCUUACCACAUCACUCGGCACGGUCCGUCCUGCCCUCUAACGUCAACUGACCUUUAGCGCGUCCGCUGCCGUCGGCCGCGAGUCAUACCUGUUGAAGGCAGACAGCGAGCUGUUGUGGCGACUCCAUCACACACCGUCACGCGUGGGUGGAUCGGAAGGCAGGCGAGCUAACCAGCUGAGUCGCCGGGACGGGAUUCACCAAAGCACGCUAAUGUCCCAUUUCAUAAUAUAUAUCGAGAAACGAAGCAAUUUGGCUGGUCCAUAAAUGAGUUGUCUACGCUCCAUGCAUCACGGCUCACCCGAGAUGUUCAACACAAAGCAUUCACAGCAUGAUUUUGAAGUGAAUAUCGUGAGUUGUACUUCGUAUUUGGACACACCUCAUCGCACCUCUCGUUUAACACGCGCUCGGGUGGGGUGGGGGCGGGGGUAAAAUUGACCCCUCUGAAGAUUUUUCCAGAAUGGUUUCCAAACGGCGCGGCGCAGCCGCGCCAAAUUUUUCACAGCUGUAGACAACUGAAUAGCAGAUCGUUUGACAUACAAAUUUAUACGUGCCUUGUAAAUUCACUGGCAUAUGACAGGUCAAAGUCAGGCCAUAGUUUCAACGAAGGCACUUCCUAGGGAAUCGUCCAAUCUGAUGCAAUAACGGAGAGUUUGACGGAGCCCUACAUCUCUGAGAUGCU
Molecule: long non-coding RNA, 2082 nt
Organism: Pollicipes pollicipes
Lineage: Eukaryota; Metazoa; Arthropoda; Thecostraca; Pollicipedomorpha; Pollicipedidae
Exons: 4
Source: RefSeq, a predicted model, not a curated record